UGGGGAAUAUUGGACAAUGGGCGAAAGCCUGAUCCAGCAAUGCCGCGUGAGUGAUGAAGGCCUUAGGGUUGUAAAGCUCUUUUACCCGGGAUGAUAAUGACAGUACCGGGAGAAUAAGCCCCGGCUAACUCCGUGCCAGCAGCCGCGGUAAUACGGAGGGGGCUAGCGUUGUUCGGAAUUACUGGGCGUAAAGCGCACGUAGGCGGCUUUGUAAGUUAGAGGUGAAAGCCCGGGGCUCAACUCCGGAAUUGCCUUUAAGACUGCAUCGCUAGAAUUGUGGAGAGGUAAGUGGAAUUCCGAGUGUAGAGGUGAAAUGCGUAGAUAUCAGGAGGAACACCUGUGGCGAAAGCGGCGCACUGGACCAUAACUGACGCUGAUGCGCGAAAGCUAGGGGAGCAAAC
Molecule: ribosomal RNA, 401 nt
Filed under: uncultured bacterium
Lineage: Bacteria
Description: bacterial SSU rRNA
Rfam family: Bacterial small subunit ribosomal RNA
Source: RNAcentral